UACGUAGGUGGCAAGCGUUAUCCGGAAUUACUGGGCGUAAAGCGCACGCAGGCGGUCUGUUAAGUUUGACGUGAAAGCUCCCGGCUUAACUGGGAGAGGUCGUUGAAGACUGGCAGACUUGAGGCGAUGAGAGGGGUGUAGAAUUCCCGGUGUAGUGGUGGAAUGCGUAGAUAUCGGGGGGAAUACCAGUGGCGAAAGCGGCACCCUAGCGUUAGCCUGACGCUCAUGUGCGAAAGCGUGGGGAGCAAACAGG
RNAcentral lists this ribosomal RNA (253 nucleotides) under uncultured bacterium. Its description in RNAcentral is "partial 16S ribosomal RNA". It matches the Rfam family "Bacterial small subunit ribosomal RNA", at positions 524 to 776 of the family's 1533-position model. The record is from RNAcentral.